UACGUAGGGCGCAAGCGUUGUCCGGAAUUAUUGGGCGUAAAGAGCUCGUAGGCGGCCUGUUGCGUCUGCUGUGAAAUCCCGGGGCUUAACCCCGGGCGUGCAGUGGAUACGGGCAGGCUGGAGGCAGGCAGGGGAGAAUGGAAUUCCCGGUGUAGCGGUGAAAUGCGCAGAUAUCGGGAGGAACACCGGUGGCGAAGGCGGUUCUCUGGGCCUGUUCUGACGCUGAGGAGCGAAAGCGUGGGGAGCGAACAGG
RNAcentral lists this ribosomal RNA (253 nucleotides) under uncultured bacterium. Its description in RNAcentral is "partial 16S ribosomal RNA". It matches the Rfam family "Bacterial small subunit ribosomal RNA", at positions 524 to 776 of the family's 1533-position model. The record is from RNAcentral.